AGGAUGUUGGCUUAGAAGCAGCCAUCAUUUAAAGAAAGCGUAAUAGCUCACUGGUCGAGUCGGCCUGCGCGGAAGAUGUAACGGGGCUAAACCAUGCACCGAAGCUGCGGCAGCGAACGUAUCACCCAAGACAACUUUACGGAGUUGACGAUUGACGGAGCGAAGCGACGUCAAAGCGUUCAUUAAAGUCGAGUUGGCUUAGGGAUACGUUCGUUGGGUAGGGGAGCGUUCUGUAAGCCUGUGAAGGUGUGUCGUGAGGCAUGCUGGAGGUAUCAGAAGUGCGAAUGCUGACAUAAGUAACGAUAAAGCGGGUGAAAAGCCCGCUCGCCGGAAGACCAAGGGUUCCUGUCCAACGUUAAUCGGGGCAGGGUGAGUCGACCCCUAAGGCGAGGCCGAAAGGCGUAGUCGAUGGGAAACGGGUUAAUAUUCCCGUACUUGGUGUUACUGCGAAGGGGGGACGGAGAAGGCUAUGUUGGCCGGGCGACGGUUGUCCCGGUUUAAGCGUGUAGGUGUGUGUUCCAGGUAAAUCCGGUUCACUUUAACACUGAGGCGUGACGACGAGGCACUACGGUGCUGAAGCAACAAAUGCCCUGCUUCCAGGAAAAGCCUCUAAGCAUCAGGUAACAUCAAAUCGUACCCCAAACCGACACAGGUGGUCAGGUAGAGAAUACCAAGGCGCUUGAGAGAACUCGGGUGAAGGAACUAGGCAAAAUGGUGCCGUAACUUCGGGAGAAGGCACGCUGACACGUAGGUGAAGUGAUUUACUCAUGGAGCUGAAGUCAGUCGAAGAUACCAGCUGGCUGCAACUGUUUAUUAAAAACACAGCACUGUGCAAACACGAAAGUGGACGUAUACGGUGUGACGCCUGCCCGGUGCCGGAAGGUUAAUUGAUGGGGUCAGCGCAAGCGAAGCUCCUGAUCGAAGCCCCGGUAAACGGCGGCCGUAACUAUAACGGUCCUAAGGUAGCGAAAUUCCUUGUCGGGUAAGUUCCGACCUGCACGAAUGGCGUAAUGAUGGCCAGGCUGUCUCCACCCGAGACUCAGUGAAAUUGAACUCGCUGUGAAGAUGCAGUGUACCCGCGGCAAGACGGAAAGACCCCGUGAACCUUUACUAUAGCUUGACACUGAACAUUGAGCCUUGAUGUGUAGGAUAGGUGGGAGGCUUUGAAGUGUGGACGCCAGUCUGCAUGGAGCCGACCUUGAAAUACCACCCUUUAAUGUUUGAUGUUCUAACGUGGACCCGUAAUCCGGGUUGCGGACAGUGUCUGGUGGGUAGUUUGACUGGGGCGGUCUCCUCCUAAAGAGUAACGGAGGAGCACGAAGGUUGGCUAAUCCUGGUCGGACAUCAGGAGGUUAGUGCAAUGGCAUAAGCCAGCUUGACUGCGAGCGUGACGGCGCGAGCAGGUGCGAAAGCAGGUCAUAGUGAUCCGGUGGUUCUGAAUGGAAGGGCCAUCGCUCAACGGAUAAAAGGUACUCCGGGGAUAACAGGCUGAUACCGCCCAAGAGUUCAUAUCGACGGCGGUGUUUGGCACCUCGAUGUCGGCUCAUCACAUCCUGGGGCUGAAGUAGGUCCCAAGGGUAUGGCUGUUCGCCAUUUAAAGUGGUACGCGAGCUGGGUUUAGAACGUCGUGAGACAGUUCGGUCCCUAUCUGCCGUGGGCGCUGGAGAACUGAGGGGGGCUGCUCCUAGUACGAGAGGACCGGAGUGGACGCAUCACUGGUGUUCGGGUUGUCAUGCCAAUGGCACUGCCCGGUAGCUAAAUGCGGAAGAGAUAAGUGCUGAAAGCAUCUAAGCACGAAACUUGCCCCGAGAUGAGUUCUCCCUGAGACUUAGAGUCUCCUGAAGGAACGUUGAAGACGACGACGUUGAUAGGCCGGGUGUGUAAGCGCAGCGAUGCGUUGAGCUAACCGGUACUAAUGAACCGUGAGGCUUAACCUUACA
RNAcentral lists this ribosomal RNA (1940 nucleotides) under Salmonella enterica. RNAcentral describes it as "partial 23S ribosomal RNA". It matches the Rfam family "Bacterial large subunit ribosomal RNA", at positions 1095 to 2925 of the family's 2925-position model. The record is from RNAcentral. Lineage: Bacteria; Pseudomonadati; Pseudomonadota; Gammaproteobacteria; Enterobacterales; Enterobacteriaceae.